CAAUAGCGUAUAUUUAAGUUGUUGCAGUUAAAAAGCUCGUAGUUGGAUUUCGGGUGGGACGCAGCGGUCUCGCAUUGCGUUUGUACUGCUGCAGCCCUCCUUCUUGCCGGGGGCGGCCUCUCGGACUUCACUGUCUGGGGGUCAGAAUCGGCGAUGUUACUUUGAGUAAAUUAGAGUGUUCAAAGCAAGCUUACGCUCUGAAUAUAAUAGCAUGGGAUAACACGACAGGACUCUGGCCUAUCGUGUUGGUCUAUAGGACCAGAGUAAUGAUUAAGAGGGACAGUCGGGGGCAUUCGUAUUCCGUUGUCAGAGGUGAAACUCUUGGAUUUACGGAAGACGAACAUCUGCGAAAGCAUUUGCCAAGGAUGUUUUCAUUGA
RNAcentral lists this ribosomal RNA (378 nucleotides) under uncultured eukaryote. RNAcentral describes it as "partial 18S ribosomal RNA". It matches the Rfam family "Eukaryotic small subunit ribosomal RNA", at positions 592 to 976 of the family's 1831-position model. The record is from RNAcentral.